Molecule: ribosomal RNA, 253 nt
Filed under: uncultured bacterium
Lineage: Bacteria
Description: partial 16S ribosomal RNA
Rfam family: Bacterial small subunit ribosomal RNA
Source: RNAcentral
GACAGAGGUGGCUAGCGUUGUUCGGAUUUAUUGGGCGUAAAGCGCACGCAGGCGGUUUGGUAAGUCAGGGGUGAAAGGCCACAGCUUAACUGUGGUAUUGCCUUUGAUACUGCCUUUCUUGAGUGCAUGAGGGGGAAGCGGAAUUCCGAGUGUAGAGGUGAAAUUCGUAGAUAUUCGGAGGAACACCGGUGGCGAAGGCGGCUUCCUGGCAUGUAACUGACGCUCAUGUGCGAAAGCGUGGGGAGCAAACAGG